UUCAUAAAUAAUUUCAAACUUAACACUCUUACUUUCGUAAGUGACUUUAAUUCAAAUCACUUGAUUACUUUCGAAAUAAUGUUAUUCGAAAUGUCAUGUCAAAUAAUAUAUUACUUUAUUUCUGAAUUGUGUAAAAUUGUUAUAGGGAUAAUGGUUUCUGUUGUAGAUGUGACAAUGAUCGCUAUAGUUAUUUACUUUUUAAAUUAAGCGUCACUGUAAGACUCGUUUUUGUGUUACUAGUUUUUUAAUUACUAGAUUAAGUUUCGUUUUUGUUCAAGGGUUUUUUUUUUUUUUAAGUCUUAUGGAGAAGAUCACAUGCGGCAGUAAUUAAUAAUGUAAUCUUCAUAUUAUCAAGUAAUCUUUUCAAACAACUCCUAACCUGAAUAAUAUCAACAGCUUCCUCUAGUUGGUAGCUAGGUUUUGUGCGUGCGUGCGCGCGCGCGCGCGCGUGUGUGUGUGCAUGAGAGUCGCUUAGUGUAAAAGAAUAAUGUCUAAGCAUAGUAGUAAAGUUUAUAUUAUACAAAUAAAUGUAGUACAAAAAUAUAAGGAAAAGGAAAUGUCAUUAAUCACGCCAGUAAAAGAUAAAUAAUAAUAACAAAAAAAAUAAUUGUGAAAUUGUUCUUGAAAAUUGUAUAGAUGUAUUCACAAGUACACGACGAUUUCGAAUUUGAAAAGGAUGAAGAUGAAUUCAUCUUUUGGCUGCACUUUGCUUUGGCGGACCUAAAAUGUUUAGGUUUUUUUACAUAACCUAAUGAUGAAUGCCAUUAAAUUACAAUAUUCUUUAUAAGUGACAAGUAAUUCAAUGGUAUUUUCUAUGAAGUAAUUUUAAUUGAACGCCAUCUACUUAAAUUUUUAAAAUUAACAUUGUUUUAAAAUCUGUUUUACCGACGGGGUAUGUCUGCAAGGCAAUAUGGCGUCGGAAGUGUCAGUUAAAUACGGUAAAAUGUCCACAUUCAACUUCUCGUAACUUAUGAAAUAGUGGAUUCUUCGCCUUGAAACUAGCAGUUUCGGAUUCUUCUUGACAAAAUCUACAGGAUUAUAUAAAAAAAACCUACAAAUUUUAGGUCCGCCAAGGAACUAAAGAUUCUAAGAAGAGAAACGAGUACUCACAUCCAUGUUCCCGGUACCGUCGAUGCUGCGUCGAUGAGUAGUAAUUGUAAGAUGACGAGCAAGAAUUCUCUUUGGAGACCUACAAAUAUUACAACGGAAUCUACUAGAUUUAUAAAGUUCAUAGCAGAAUUAAUUUAUGGAAAGAUGGAAAGUUAUUAGCAGAAUUAAUUUAUGGAAAGAUGUAAUUCCUCUCAAACACGAAGAUGAAAACAAAAACGU
Hylaeus anthracinus is the source of this 1329-nucleotide long non-coding RNA. RefSeq lists it as uncharacterized. NCBI's taxonomy places the organism in Eukaryota, Metazoa, Arthropoda, Insecta, Hymenoptera, Colletidae. The transcript is spliced from 3 exons. The record is from RefSeq and is a predicted model, not a curated record.